AACAAACGCUGGCGGCGUGCCUAACACAUGCAAGUCGUACGAGAAAGUCCGCUUCGGUGGGCAAGUAAAGUGGCGCACGGGUGAGUAACGCGUGGAUAAUCUACCCUUUAGUCUGGAAUAACUUAUCGAAAGGUGAAUUAAUACCGGAUAAUAUCCCGAAUUCUCCGGAAAUCGGGAUCAAAGAAGGCCUCUGCUUGCAUGCUUUUGCUGAAGGAUGAGUCCGCGUACCAUUAGCUAGUUGGUAGGGUAACGGCCUACCAAGGCAACGAUGGUUAGCUGGUCUGAGAGGAUGAUCAGCCACACUGGAACUGAGACACGGUCCAGACUCCUACGGGAGGCAG
Molecule: ribosomal RNA, 341 nt
Filed under: uncultured Pseudomonadota bacterium
Lineage: Bacteria; Pseudomonadati; Pseudomonadota
Description: bacterial SSU rRNA
Rfam family: Bacterial small subunit ribosomal RNA
Source: RNAcentral